AGUUGAAUACGCUUGUUUUACUGCCCAAUGCUACACUACCGGUUGGUACUAACCUAGCAUGAUAUACUCAGACAUGCCACUUAGGUAUAAUGUUAGCUUGUCUCCUACAGCUCAAACGUGUUCAGUUUCCCAGGUCCCCGCAUAUUUCCUAUAAUCUAAAAUAGUACAGCACACAUGACACUCUAAACUAAGCUUAACCUGGUAUACCGCAUACUCUUACUGAAAUGUCUCCAUACACUAAGCAAAUCUUUAAUCCUAUUGUUAUUUCUCUUAAGCUUGUAACCUUAAAACCAUAUACCAUAGUCAGUCAGGAAAUCACACUGUGUAACUUAUAUAAAUUCGCUCGUAACUGACAAGU
Molecule: non-coding RNA, 358 nt
Organism: Pelobates cultripes (western spadefoot toad)
Lineage: Eukaryota; Metazoa; Chordata; Amphibia; Anura; Pelobatidae
Source: the annotation of a GenBank genome assembly